Molecule: ribosomal RNA, 981 nt
Filed under: Pseudomonas sp. IPR3
Lineage: Bacteria; Pseudomonadati; Pseudomonadota; Gammaproteobacteria; Pseudomonadales; Pseudomonadaceae
Description: bacterial SSU rRNA
Rfam family: Bacterial small subunit ribosomal RNA
Source: RNAcentral
AUCUGCCUGGUAGUGGGGGACAACAUUUCGAAAGGAACGCUAAUACCGCAGACGUCCUACGGGAGAAAGCAGGGGACCUUCGGGCCUUGCGCUAUAAGAUGAGCCUAGGUCGGAUUAGCUAGUUGGUGAGGUAAUGGCUCACCAAGGCGACGAUCCGUAACUGGUCUGAGAGGAUGAUCAGUCACACUGGAACUGAGACACGGUCCAGACUCCUACGGGAGGCAGCAGUGGGGAAUAUUGGACAAUGGGCGAAAGCCUGAUCCAGCCAUGCCGCGUGUGUGAAGAAGGUCUUCGGAUUGUAAAGCACUUUAAGUUGGGAGGAAGGGCAGUAAAUUAAUACUUUGCUGUUUUGACGUUACCGACAGAAUAAGCACCGGCUAACUCUGUGCCAGCAGCCGCGGUAAUACAGAGGGUGCAAGCGUUAAUCGGAAUUACUGGGCGUAAAGCGCGCGUAGGUGGUUUGUUAAGUUGGAUGUGAAAUCCCCGGGCUCAACCUGGGAACUGCAUCCAAAACUGGCAAGCUAGAGUAUGGUAGAGGGUGGGUGGAAUUUCCUGUGUAGCGGUGAAAUGCGUAGAUAUAGGAAGGAACACCAGUGGCGAAGGCGACCACCUGGACUGAUACUGACACUGAGGUGCGAAAGCGUGGGGAGCAAACAGGAUUAGAUACCCUGGUAGUCCACGCCGUAAACGAUGUCACUAACCCGUUGGGAGCCUUGAGCUCUUAGUGGCGCAGCUAACGCAUUAAGUUGACCGCCUGGGGGAGUACGGCCGCAAGGUUAAAACUCAAAUGAAUUGACGGGGGCCCGCACAAGCGGUGGAGCCAUGUGGGUUUAAUUCGAAGCAACGCGAAGAACCUUACCAGGCCUUGACAUCCAAUGAACUUUCCAGAGAAUUGGAUUGGUGCCUUCGGGAACAUUGAGACAGGUGCUGCAUGGCUGUCGUCAGCUCGUGUCGUGAGAAGGUUGGGGUUAAGUCCCCGUA